ACUGCUCAGUAACACGUGGAUAACCUGCCCUUGGGACCGGCAUAACCCCGGGAAACUGGGGAUAAUUCCGGAUAACGCAUAUAUGCUGGAAUGCUUUAUGCGUAAAAUGGAUUCGUCUGCCCAAGGAUGGGUCUGCGGCCUAUCAGGUAGUAGUGGGUGUAAUGGACCUACUAGCCUACAACGGGUACGGGUUGUGAGAGCAAGAGCCCGGAGAUGGAUUCUGAGACAUGAAUCCAGGCCCUACGGGGCGCAGCAGGCGCGAAAACUUUACAAUGCGGGAAACCGUGAUAAGGGGACACCGAGUGCCAGCAUCAUAUGCUGGCUGUCCAGGUGUGUAAAAUACACCUGUUAGCAAGGGCCGGGCAAGACCGGUGCCAGCCGCCGCGGUAACACCGGCGGCCCGAGUGGUGAUCGUGAUUAUUGGGUCUAAAGGGUCCGUAGCCGGUUUGGUCAGUCCUCCGGGAAAUCUGAUAGCUCAACUAUUAGGCUUUCGGGGGAUACUGCCAGACUUGGAACCGGGAGAGGUAAGAGGUACUACAGGGGUAGGAGUGAAAUCUUGUAAUCCCUGUGGGACCACCUGUGGCGAAGGCGUCUUACCAGAACGGGUUCGACGGUGAGGGACGAAAGCUGGGGGCACGAACCGGAUUAGAUACCCGGGUAGUCCCAGCCGUAAACGAUGCUCGCUAGGUGUCAGGCAUGGCGCGACCGUGUCUGGUGCCGCAGGGAAGCCGUGAAGCGAGCCACCUGGGAAGUACGGCCGCAAGGCUGAAACUUAAAGGAAUUGGCGGGGGAGCAC
RNAcentral lists this ribosomal RNA (796 nucleotides) under uncultured archaeon. Its description in RNAcentral is "bacterial SSU rRNA". It matches the Rfam family "Archaeal small subunit ribosomal RNA", at positions 85 to 879 of the family's 1478-position model. The record is from RNAcentral.